This 253-nucleotide ribosomal RNA is filed under the name uncultured bacterium. RNAcentral describes it as "partial 16S ribosomal RNA". It matches the Rfam family "Bacterial small subunit ribosomal RNA", at positions 524 to 776 of the family's 1533-position model. The record is from RNAcentral.
GACGAACUGUGCAAACGUUAUUCGGAAUCACUGGGCUUGAAGAGUGCGUAGGCGGUUUCGUAAGUAGGGUGUGAAAGCCCCCAGCUCAACUGGGGAACUGCGUCCUAAACUGCGAGGCUGGAGUGAGGUAGGGGUGUGCGGAACUUCCGGUGGAGCGGUGAAAUGCGUAGAUAUGCGGAGGAACACCGAUGGCGAAGGCAGCCCCCUGGGUCAACACUGACGCUCAUGCACGAAAGCGUGGGGAGCAAACAGG